GGUCUACAAUCUCAAAUAGGUAUUUACAAUGAGCACAUCAUUUAAUUGAACAGCACCGUCAAGUUGAAAUCAACCCUUCCAAGGUUGUCUUCACUAAUCUUUUCCUUAAGAUGGACAACAAGUUGCUGCUGGCGAGGCCAAGGGUCUCAAAACCACAGACGAUGAUAAGAACACCAAGAUCAAAGUUAAAGAUAUUAGGUAAACACUAGAGCAUUGAUUGGUUUUGAAUCCUUGGGUGGUGAAGUUUGUUAUCAGCAUAUGUAAUGCCCACUAGCGGUAAAUCAUCAACCGUGAAAACAAAUUCAGAAUAUUGAACAAAUAUUGAGCCAAAACACAAGCGGAACGUAACAAAACAUCAAAUGUUUUAGCAUUGCUGUUGUUUGGUGUAAAGGGAAAUGGCCCUCGUUGCAUCUGUACAUCACUUUCCAGGGGCCCUCACCACUAAUCCUAAAAUCAUUGCAGAAAGC
This 467-nucleotide unclassified non-coding RNA is filed under the name Hevea brasiliensis (rubber tree). Lineage: Eukaryota; Viridiplantae; Streptophyta; Magnoliopsida; Malpighiales; Euphorbiaceae. The record is from RNAcentral.